GACGAACGCUGGCGGCGUGCUUAGCACAUGCAAGUCGAACGCUGAAGCUUGGUGCUUGCACUGGGUGGAUGAGUGGCGAACGGGUGAGUAAUACGUGAGUAACCUGCCCUUGACUCUGGGAUAAGCCUGGGAAACUGGGUCUAAUACUGGAUACGACAUGUCACCGCAUGGUGGUGUGUGGAAAGGGUUUUACUGGUUUUGGAUGGGCUCACGGCCUAUCAGCUUGUUGGUGGGGUAAUGGCUCACCAAGGCGACGACGGGUAGCCGGCCUGAGAGGGUGACCGGCCACACUGGGACUGAGACACGGCCCAGACUCCUACGGGAGGCAGCAGUGGGGAAUAUUGCACAAUGGGCGGAAGCCUGAUGCAGCGACGCCGCGUGAGGGAUGACGGCCUUCGGGUUGUAAACCUCUUUCAGCACGGAAGAAGCGAAAGUGACGGUACGUGCAGAAGAAGCGCCGGCUAACUACGUG
This 472-nucleotide ribosomal RNA is filed under the name uncultured bacterium. Its description in RNAcentral is "partial 16S ribosomal RNA". It matches the Rfam family "Bacterial small subunit ribosomal RNA", at positions 28 to 507 of the family's 1533-position model. The record is from RNAcentral.